CAAGGAUUCCCCUAGUAACGGCGAGUGAAGCGGGAAGAGCUCAAAUUUGUAAUCUGGCGGCCUCCGGUCGUCCGAGUUGUAGUCUGGAGAAGUGCUUUCCGUGCCGGACCGUGUACAAGUCCCUUGGAACGGGGUGUCGUAGAGGGUGAGAAUCCCGUCUCUGACACGGACUGCCGGUGCCCUGUGAUGCGCUCUCGAAGAGUCGAGUUGUUUGGGAAUGCAGCUCAAAACGGGUGGUAAAUUCCAUCUAAAGCUAAAUAUUGGCGAAAGACCGAUAGCGAACAAGUACCGUGAGGGAAAGAUGAAAAGCACUUUGGAAAGAGAGUUAAACAGUACGUGAAAUUGUUGAAAGGGAAACGCUUGGAGUCAGUCGCGUCCGUCGAGGCUCAGCCGGGUACCAGACCCGGUGCACUCCUCGGCGCAGACGGGCCAGCAUCGAUUUCGACUGUCGGAGAAAGGCCCUGGGAAUGUGGCACCCUUCCGGGGGUGUGUUAUAGCCCUCUGCCGUAUGCGACGGUCGGGAUCGAGGACCGCAGCGUGCCCCUCGCAGGGCCGGGGUUCGUCCCACGUAACGCGCUCAGGAUGCUGGCGUAAUGGCUCCAAGCGACCCGUCUUGAAC
Molecule: ribosomal RNA, 619 nt
Filed under: Aroramyces sp. SM10030
Lineage: Eukaryota; Fungi; Basidiomycota; Agaricomycetes; Hysterangiales; Hysterangiaceae
Description: eukaryotic LSU rRNA
Rfam family: Eukaryotic large subunit ribosomal RNA
Source: RNAcentral